GAAAAGACAGGGCUGACUGGUGCAGAAGUAGGUGGUUAUAGGUAUUGACAAAUCAUAAUGGAGGAAAUCAAUAAAAGAUAAAAGCAAAAUGAGUUACUCGAGGCAGAUGACAAAAAUCCAACAAAUCAAAAGAAGAGGCAGAUGACAGGAACAAUGCCAUACUAGGAUCUGUGAGGAGAUGGUGUAGACAACACAUGGUAGCUUCAAAAUGAGUUACUCGAGGCAGAUGACAUGAACAAUGCCAUACUAGGAUCUGUGAGGAGAUGGCGUAGACAACACAUGGUAGCUUCAAAAUGAGUUACUCGAGGAGAUUGCAUGUACUAGCUGAGGUGCUGCGCUGCAAAUGAGAGGUCAGGGCGAGUAUGAGUGAGGCAAUUUAAUUUGCCGACCAGCUUUUGGUAAAUUGUGGGGUCACAUAACAAAUUCCCAUAAUCCGUACGAAGCUGAUAAGAAGGAUCAAUUGGAGAAGGAGCCGGUUUCAUAUUCAAACAACCAAAUUCAACCAAUAAAUCCAAGGUGAACUUACGUUGACUGAGUAUUAUUCCAUGUGGUUCUCGAAUAAUUUUCAUGCCAAGAAAAUAGUGUGUUUUUCCCAAAUCCUUAAUUUGAAACUCAGAAUCAAGAAAUAUUUAAGUGAAGUAAUUUCUGAAGGAUCAUCUCCUGCUAAUAAUAUAUUGUCCCUAUAAACAGCAACAAUAGUAAUUUUACUUUCUGAAUUCUUAAAGAAUAGUGAAUAGUCAUUAAGAGAGUGUGGGUUCCCAUUGAAGUUCAAGGCUGCAGUAAGUCGGGCAUGCCAUUGUUGUGAGGCUUGCCGCAUUCCAUAUAGUGAUUUCUUGAGUCUACACACAUGAUGAGGUGAGGGAGAAACCAUACCAGUUGGGAAUUUUAUGUAGAUCUCCUCUUGAAAAAUGCCCCAGUUUUUUUUUAACUGCAACUGCCAAUAGACACCUGAUAAUAAAUUUCAGUAAAGUCUAGUCCUUCUCUUAGAAUGUCU
This 994-nucleotide long non-coding RNA is filed under the name Nicotiana benthamiana. RNAcentral's name for it is "long non-coding RNA (NBEN_LNC033363)". The record is from RNAcentral. Lineage: Eukaryota; Viridiplantae; Streptophyta; Magnoliopsida; Solanales; Solanaceae.